UCGAAACAUUUCUUAUACGUGGUUCAAAAAUAACGAAGAAAUAUUAAUUAAUGAAACUCGCAACUCGAAAUAUGUGUUUAAGAAAUCUAAAUACAAUAUCAAACUAACGAUACUCGAACCGACGGUCCAUGAUACGGAUGUGUACAGCGUUACUGUCCAUGCUGGAGACGCAUCAAAACGCUGCAAUGUAUCGGUUUUCGCAUACGCUAAGCCAACGGUGGAGCUGACUAGUAUUGAAGCGGGACCGAACGAAACUGUCCAAUAUGUAUGCAGUAGUACAGGUUAUCCUUUGCCAGAGAUACAGCUUUGGUUUAAACCUUGCGAUGAUGUCCCUUGGCAGAACUGUUCCAUAGAGGAGACACGGUCAACAGGGUGGAAUGAGACUGCGAACGAGCGGAAGAAUACGUUGAUUUCAUCGUCUCGCGUCUACAUAGCUGCAGCCAAUCAGCCAGGUGUGGUGUAUUGUGCAGCUCAAAAUUCGGAGGGAAAUAAAACUGUGCAAGCGGAUUUGCU
Molecule: long non-coding RNA, 513 nt
Organism: Anopheles darlingi
Lineage: Eukaryota; Metazoa; Arthropoda; Insecta; Diptera; Culicidae
Exons: 3
Source: RefSeq, a predicted model, not a curated record